Molecule: long non-coding RNA, 841 nt
Filed under: Citrus x clementina
Lineage: Eukaryota; Viridiplantae; Streptophyta; Magnoliopsida; Sapindales; Rutaceae
Description: Citrus clementina (C. clementina) long non-coding RNA (CCLE_LNC004927)
Source: RNAcentral
AAAAACGGGUGGGCUAUAGCCUUGGUGGGGGGCGCGGGCGAAGUUUGUCCGCCGGACUCGGAAUGGGGCGAGACUUUGCGAGGGGCCUCGGGGUGCCCGUGGGAAGUCGCGGGCACAGCCGCGUCCAAAAAUAAGCGCCCGAAGGUCGUGGUGCCAAAACCCCCCAGCGGAAAAAUGGCCAAAAAACGGGUGGGCUAUAGCCUUGGUGGGGGGCGCGGGCGAAGCUCGUCCGCCGGACUCGGAAUGGGGCGAGACUUUGCGCAGGGCCUCGGGGCGCCAAAAAUAAGCCGAGGGCAAAGCCGCGCCCAAAAAUAAGCGCCCGAAGGUCGUGGUGCCAAAUACCCCCAGCGGAAAAAUGGCCAAAAAACGGGUGGGCUAUAGCCUUGGUGGGGGGCGCGGGCGAAGUUCGUCCGCCGGACUCGGAAUGGGGCGAGACUUUGCGCGGGGCCUCGGGGCGCCAAAAAUAAGCCGCGGGCAAAGCUGCGCCCAAAAAUAAGCUCCCGAAGGUCGUGGUACCAAAACCCCCCAGCGGAAAAAUGGCAAAAAAAUGGGUGGGCUAUAGCCUUGGUGGGGGGCGCGGGCGAAGUUCGUCCGCCAGACUCGGAAUGGGGCGAGACUUUGCGAGGGGCCUCGGGGCACCAAAAAUAAGCCGCGGGCAAAGCCGCGCCCAAAAAUAAGCGCCCGAAGGUCGUGGUGCCAAAACCCCCCAGCGGAAAAAUGGCCUAAAAACGGGUGGGCUAUAGCCUUGGUGGGGGGCGCGGGCGAAGUUCGUCCGCCGGACUCGGAAUGGGGCGAGACUUUGCGAGGGGCCUCGGGGUGCCCGCGGGAAGUCGCGGGCACN